ACGGAGGGUGCAAGCGUUAUCCGGAAUCAUUGGGUUUAAAGGGUCCGCAGGCGGGAUUAUAAGUCAGUGGUGAAAUCUCAUAGCUUAACUAUGAAACUGCCAUUGAUACUGUAGUUCUUGAAUUCGGUCGAAGUGGGCGGAAUAUGACAUGUAGCGGUGAAAUGCAUAGAUAUGUCAUAGAACACCGAUAGCGAAGGCAGCUCACUAGGCCUGGAUUGACGCUCAGGGACGAAAGCGUGGGGAGCAAACAGGAUUAGAUACCCUGGUAGUCCACGCCGUAAACUAUGAUUACUCGUUUUCAGCGAUAUACAGUUGGAGACUAAGCGAAAGUGAUAAGUAAUCCACCUGGGGAGUACGAUCGCAAGGUUG
RNAcentral lists this ribosomal RNA (369 nucleotides) under uncultured bacterium. RNAcentral describes it as "bacterial SSU rRNA". It matches the Rfam family "Bacterial small subunit ribosomal RNA", at positions 525 to 896 of the family's 1533-position model. The record is from RNAcentral.